UCUCUCUCUCUCUCUCUCUCUCUUUCUUCUCACUCCGGCGAGUUCAGCGCCCAUGGCUGCGGCUGGAUCCUUCCUAUCUUCUCCCUCAUCUGUGACGAGAUCCGCUUGGGCCAUGCUGAAGGAACCACCUAGGAGGUCGCUUGGGCUCCAUUCUUUCGCUGGGUGCUCACUGCAUUGAGCCAGCUUAGGGCCCCACGCUCCUUGAGCUCGUCGCUCUACAAUAUGGCUCCAGCUCCUGAUCGGCAGCCUGCUCACCACACCUUUAGAUCCAAAAGCUAGGUGCCGUGGCUUCUCCAGGUGAGAGUUUCUAAUUCCCUCCUUCCAGUAUCUCGUGCACCCUAUAUGGAUCCCAUGGUUGCUUCACAUUCCCCCUCCGAUUCCUGGAGUGAGCAUUUCCAACUCCCCUACUGGAUCUUGAUUUUUGUUGUUCUAGAGUCUCUAUAGUUGUUCCCCCUGAUUGAUGUGUAUUGUGUCUCGAUUUGUGCUGUUCUAGGAUUCUUCUCUUGUGUUCAACUGUGUGUUUUCACCUGUGCUAUGUUGGUUUAUAGAAUUAGGCUUCUGAAAUGGUAAAAUAGCAUCUGAUGGUAUUGUGAUAGAUUCCUCACUUCGUAUUUUUGUGUCACCAUGUUAGCAUUUUGGGCAUCUUCCUGUUGCAACCUGUCAGCUACAAAGUCUUAUAAAUGAAAUAUGAUCCUAGGAAUACUACAUCAUUUUCAAAUAUGAUCCCAGGAAUACUACAACAUAUCCCUAAUGUAAAAUCACUAUCCUUUAUUUAAGCCGAAGUUAAUAUGAGGUUUUUUAAUUUUUUAUAAGCUAUCAUGCAGGGAACUUUCCAAUGAAAUAUGUCCAUUUUGACAUUUGUUGGCACAUCAAUGCAAAAUGUAUUGUUGGAAGUUUGAAGUAGGACUGGUUGCUAAAUUAUGAUCCCUUUUAUCUUGUGCAUUUCAUAUAGUGCCUUUCUGCAGUGUUUCUAUUUUAUCUUAUCUUUCCUAUCUAAAACUGUUUGCCUGUAUAUUUGCUAAAGUUGAUACUGCCUUUAAUUCACAAUCUUAAUCGUGGUUUGAAUUUUAUCGGUUAAAUGUGAGUUUCAAUGUAAUUUGUGCAUAAGGCAACCAUAAUAACCUUAAUCUCUGUACUUCACUGUGUUUUGUAGUGUUAUGUUUUCGUUUAUGUAAUUCUAAAGAUAAUGCAUGUACCCCUUUAUAAUUGUGUGUGUGUCCUGUAUGGGGCCUCUUUGCCUUGUUCUUCUACUUUGACGAUUAUUUUUGUGUUGGGGCUAGAAGGGUGUUAGCUUAUUCCUGCCAAUUCUGAGUAUUAAUGAUUGUAUGUGCCCUUACUAAUUAUAUUUAUUUUUACCUAAGAUUUUUCCCUAAGAGUAGCAAGAAAAAUCUCUUUGGCUCAACUGCAAGGGGUCACUGUCCCUUUUUUUUUUGCAAGCAAGGUAUUUUUCAAGUUUCUUUCCUAAUAUAAUUUAUAUAUUAUGUUACAGAGAAUGAUUUUGUUGUAUAUUAUGUUCAUGCUCGUUGUAAAUUUUUAGAUUGAGGGUAUAUUUAAUCCUCUUUUAUUAGCAUCUGUUCAUAUAUGCAUCUUUGUGGAAUUAUUUUUUGUUUGGUAUGACUCAUGACUUUUCUGUUAGGAUGUGCUGCUCCUUUCUUGGAUAUUUAUAUGUUUUUUUUUGUGUCACACUACAUUCUGCUAGUUAAAUUUCUUUUUCAUUUCAAUUAGGGUUGCCUAAUACUAUACUUAUACCUUAAAUUUUGGUGUAUCUUGUGUGUAUGGUCACUAUAAUUUUAAAAAAAUAUGCGUGCAACUUACAUCAAUCCUUUCUUUAUUCAUUCUGCGGCAACUAUGUCUUGCUACUAUGCACUUUUAUUGCCACUUCUAUGUUUUCUUUUAUGUGAAAUAACUUAUAUGAUUUCAUAUGUCCGUUUUCAGAUGCCACAUUGUGCCAACUCUGAAUAUUUUUUUAAAAAAACUCUUAACAUGUUGUAAAUUGAUUUAGUUCUGAAUUUAUAGUUUCUUCAUUUGUUGGUUCGAUUAACUUGAACUCUUUUUUUUGUUGGAGCGAUGAUAGUCUGUGAGUUAAAUUUGUAUUACAAAUGAGUGGCCAUUGAUAAAGAUAUUUACAAGAAUAUGAAGCUAAUGUUUACAGGCCGGGAAUAUCUUUGAACUACUAUUUUUAAUUUCAGUUAAUAAAACUGUUAGAAUAUUUUUUUUACUUCUCUAGUUCAUGGUAUAUCUAACAGUAUAAAACAGUAACUGAGCUGGCUCUAAAACACUUGCACUGAACUUAAUGCAUUAGUUUUUCCAACCUACUUUGAUUUGGCAUUGGAAAGAGUAGCUUUGUGAUAGUCGAUGCUCGUGUUGUCAAGCAGUGGGUCUCAUGGUGGCACUUAAAAGGCUCCAUCUACUUGGAUCUCCACUUUACUGGAGAUACGAUCUCUGAUUCUUUGGCAAUGUCAUAUGUUGUUCAGCCUUUAACAAUUUGCACUCGCAAGCAUGUGCCUAUCUCCUAGUGCAACUUUCUCCUUAGGCUGCUUAAUCUAUCAGAUUACAGGACUUUUUAUUGAUGGUUGUGUGGCCCAUUUAGAAAAAAAUUAUGUAAUUUACUUGAUCUUUGGCAUUAACAAUUUGUUGUCAAAUCAUUUUUCCAUGGUCCACUUAGCUAUUUCGAUUAUAUAUGUUUUAUACCUAUCAUUCAUGGAGCUACUUUCAGGAAUUGCUUUUUUCCUCACUUUGUUCAGGCUAGAAUGCCCACUUCAUUUCAUACAUGUAGCCAAUUUAGUGGCUGGGAUUUCAUUUCAUUUCUCAUUCUAGCUUUACCUUCUGCAUCCCUAAUGACUUCCUAUUUUUUCACUUUUAUAUUCUGGCUUUCCUCAAUUUACAAAUUUUACAAGAUCCUAAUGCCUUUUACGUUUGUUACAAUUGAUCUGGCAACAAAUAUUAUUAUUACAUUGGGUUUGUCAAAUUCUAUUGUUACCAGGUACAAGCUCAAUCUUCUACAUGAACAUUCUCUUAAUGAAACUAAGAUUCAAACCUUCUACUUCUAGCAACUAAUGUCUUUUCUUGCAUUCUUUUGGAAGAAAAUAUUUAUACAUAGCUGUUCUUCGCACAAGCUUAAGAUUUAUUACUACCAGUGACGGCUGAUCUAUAUCGGAUACUCUUUAUGCCAUUAAUUAUAUCAAACACACUUGGAUCAUUCAUUUUGAACUUAUGAUUGAUAAGAGAUGUUCUAUUUAGACACACACCGUUCCCUUUUGGCAAAGAGUUCUUGAUUACAAACAUUGGUGGACCUGCUGCAUUCGAGACGUGCUCCAAAUUCUGUUAUGGUAUGAUCAUUAUGGUCAACGCUUACAAUGUCUUUGUAGCCUGUUGUUGUGAUAUGUGAUAGAAUAGGUGUUGUGAUUUCUGAUAAAAGCACAAAAUUGUUCACAUGCCCACAAAUUUGUUUAACUUUUUUUUGCUUUUUAUGAUAAACAUGGACCUGUCUUGUGAUGACUAUGCAUGCCUAGCCUUAGCUGAUAUGUAUCUAUCAUUUUAAGUAGUUGAGUUGUUAAAUUUUAAUAUACAAGAACUAUUAUUCUUAACAUCGAUUUGUUUUUAUUUUCAGGUGGAAAAUUUCAGGUUUGCGUUAAAAUUUCCUGAUAUGUUUUUUUUCAUGUUAUCAGCCAAAAAUUGUACCUCUAAACCUCUGUUUUUAAGGUGUGUCUUUUUUUCCUUAUUAGCAGCCAAAAAACUGUAGAUGUAAAUGUGUGUCUUCUCAUGUGUUUAUUUCUUAUUAUAUGAGCCUAGAAAUUGUACUGUAAAUGUGUGGAUGUGUUUUUUCCUUAUUACCAGCCUAGCAAUUGUACUGUAAAUGUGUGUGUUUUCAUAUGUAUGUUUUUUCUUCA
Long non-coding RNA from Panicum virgatum (switchgrass), 3890 nucleotides. RefSeq lists it as uncharacterized. The record is from RefSeq and is a predicted model, not a curated record. NCBI's taxonomy places the organism in Eukaryota, Viridiplantae, Streptophyta, Magnoliopsida, Poales, Poaceae. The transcript has 2 exons.